GUAAGGAAUAUUGGACAAUGGACGCAAGUCUGAUCCAGCCAUGCCGCGUGAAGGAUUAAGGUCCUCUGGAUUGUAAACUUCUUUUAUAAGGGACGAAAAAAGGCUUUUCUAAGUCGUCUGACGGUACCUUAUGAAUAAGCACCGGCUAACUCCGUGCCAGCAGCCGCGGUAAUACGGAGGGUGCAAGCGUUAUCCGGAUUCACUGGGUUUAAAGGGUGCGUAGGCGGGCAGGUAAGUCAGUGGUGAAAUCCUAGAGCUUAGCUCUAGAACUGCCAUUGAUACUAUCUGUCUUGAAUAUUGUGGAGGUAAGCGGAAUAUGUCAUGUAGCGGUGAAAUGCUUAGAUAUGACAUAGAACACCUAUUGCGAAGGCAGCUUACUACGCAUAUAUUGACGCUGAGGCACGAAAGCGUGGGGAUCAAACAGGAUUAGAUACCCCAGUAGUCC
RNAcentral lists this ribosomal RNA (445 nucleotides) under uncultured bacterium. Its description in RNAcentral is "bacterial SSU rRNA". It matches the Rfam family "Bacterial small subunit ribosomal RNA", at positions 354 to 796 of the family's 1533-position model. The record is from RNAcentral.